GCCUGGGUGGCUCAGUCGGUUGAGCGGCCGACUUUGGCUCAGCACAUCUCAGCGGGCCGUGAGUUCGAGCCCCACAUCGGGCU
This 83-nucleotide transfer RNA is filed under the name Felis catus (domestic cat). It matches the Rfam family "tRNA". Rfam says of the family: Transfer RNA (tRNA) molecules are approximately 80 nucleotides in length. Lineage: Eukaryota; Metazoa; Chordata; Mammalia; Carnivora; Felidae. The record is from Rfam by way of RNAcentral.